AUAGGUCCCUGGCAGGGGAGAUACCAUGAUCAUGAAGGUGGUUUUCCCAGGGCAAGGCUUAUUCAUUGCUCCAGAUGUGCUGACCCCUGUGAUUUCUCCAAAUGCAGGAAACUCGACUGCAUAAUUAUGGUCGGUGGGGGAACUGCGUUCAGCCUCCCG
This 159-nucleotide small nuclear RNA is filed under the name Dasypus novemcinctus (nine-banded armadillo). RNAcentral's name for it is "U1 spliceosomal RNA (ENSDNOG00000028333.1)". It matches the Rfam family "U1 spliceosomal RNA". From Rfam's summary of the family: U1 is a small nuclear RNA (snRNA) component of the spliceosome (involved in pre-mRNA splicing). Its 5' end forms complementary base pairs with the 5' splice junction, thus defining the 5' donor site of an intron. There are significant differences in sequence and secondary structure between metazoan and yeast U1 snRNAs, the latter being much longer (568 nucleotides as compared to 164 nucleotides in human). Lineage: Eukaryota; Metazoa; Chordata; Mammalia; Cingulata; Dasypodidae. The record is from RNAcentral.